Molecule: ribosomal RNA, 253 nt
Filed under: uncultured bacterium
Lineage: Bacteria
Description: partial 16S ribosomal RNA
Rfam family: Bacterial small subunit ribosomal RNA
Source: RNAcentral
UACGUAGGUGACUAGCGUUGUCCGGAUUUACUGGGCGUAAAGAGCGCGCAGGCGGUCGUUCAAGUCGAGUGUGAAAGCCCCCGGCUCAACUGGGGAGGGUCAUUCGAUACUGAUCGACUCGAAGGCAGGAGAGGGUAGUGGAAUUCCCGGUGUAGUGGUGAAAUGCGUAGAUAUCGGGAGGAACACCAGUGGCGAAGGCGACUACCUGGCCUGUUCUUGACGCUGAGGCGCGAAAGCUAGGGGAGCAAACGGG